AUCAACCAGUUUUCCUUCCACAGACACUGCCAGCCAUAUCAUAGCACAAAAUAAAAACAUUUUACGUGUUUUUUUGUAUAAUUGAAACGAAGAAAUAGAUCUCAAAAGCUUUUCUGGUCUUAUUUUCCGCUACGUUUAUUGUCAUCGACCAAAAUGCCUAUUUUAUUGCAUUUUGGGAAAACGCAGUGGGCGUCCGCUUUGAAAUUAUCCUGUGUUGCACUGAUGGUAUUUCUGGCCUGUCCAGUGAAUUCCAUGGACGUGCUGAUGCCACCACAGAUCCUCGCUCUCAACGGGACAAAUGUCAGAAUCCCCUGUACAUUCACCUCAUGCUACAAGCUGGACCCCAGCAAGUUUGCCAUGAACUGGACCUAUCAGGAGACAAGCAACAGCACAGAAGAAAUGUUCAUGACUUAUAAGAACAAGAUAACACCCUUGAAGUCGAACCGAUUUGAAGAUCGAGUCAUAUUUUCUGGAAACCUGGAUAAGAACGAUCUGAGCAUCACUAUUUCAGAUGUACAGUUGACGGACGAGGGCAUCUACAACUGCUAUGUGCGCAACCCUCCAGACCGCAUUCUGGGCCAUGGCAUCAUCCAGGUCUUCAUCCUGACUGAAUUGCCGCCACCAAGAGAUUCGACCAUUGCUGUCGCCAUCGGGGCAUCUGUGGGGGGAAUUCUAGCUUUGCUCAUUCUGUCCAUGGUAGUGGUGAAGUGUAUUCGCAGACAUAAGAACCAGGAGCUGAUCUCAGAUGAGCAGAAGAUGGAGGAAGAGGGCAAAGCAGAUGGAGAAGGAGGCACAGAAGAAGCAACAAAACAGCCCUAACCCGCCAUCUUAGCCCUGGAGGCCUAACGGAUGGUGGAGCUCCAUCCUACACAUUCUGAAAUUUAAGCCUCCUGCCUGAAGAUAUGUAAAACUUGUUUGACUCUUCAUCCUAUAACUGUCUCAUUCGACAUCCCUCGGUUUUCUCGUGUAGCAGUCAAACAUGUCAUAAAGGAAGAUCUCCACCACAGUGCCAUGGUGUCCAGUUACCAGUGAGAAAUCACAAAGGGUUUCAAACUGCCUCUUCCACUCAAUACAACAGGUUAAGGUGAUAACUUCCUGCAGAACUCUUCGUUUGGACCACCCUUUUUCAAAGUCAAGUAAUGUUUUUUUUUUUCUUCAACUACUGCCACUAUUGAUAUCAGCCAUCCAGUAUUUCUGCUGAGAAUUUUCUAAAGAGAUGAAUUUUAAAUUAUACAAGGUCCUCUUAAAACUGCCAAAGUGUUUUUACCCUUAUGGUGUUUAUACGUUUUAAGAGUUUCUUGAGAAAUCACUGCCCUCAACAACCUCUCAAGUGUAUGUAGAAACAUAACAUGUGUGUGUUUGUGUGUGUGCCUUCUCAUUGUGCCAGUUUGCUCUUGUUGGCUCUAAAAGUUUAUGCUGUUUUUACAGCAGACUAUUAGGCAGGACCAUGACUAUACAUCAGUGUUCAAAAUGUAUAAUUAGCUAGUUUACAGCACAAAGCACACCUCCAAAACAUGUACAAUCAUUGCAUGACAAUUUGCUUAUGCAUGAUACACACAAUUUGCACAAGCAUCUGGCACAUUCCACAAUUAGGGUAUAUUUUGCUGUUCCAUGACAUUUUUUAAAGGCCUUAGAGGCAUAAAUCCUAUGCUGUCUUUGAUUUAACUUAUUAGAUAUUGCAUAUUUGUUAUCUAACAUGAAACUAACUUGUUGGUUUGUUAAUGGUGAUUUUGACUUGUUCCACCUUAGAGGACUUGGUCUUCAUGACUAUCAAACAAUUAUAAUCACAGAAGAGCAUCAUCAUUUUAAAAGAUUUCAUCAUAGUAAAAGUGAAUGAAUUCUUAAUUUCUUUGUUAACCUUAUUAAAACGUAUUUCCCCCAUUACCAAAUAUGCAAAUAAAUAAACAAACAAACAAAUACAAAUUUGAGAGGCCCAAAAAUAAGCUAUUUUGGACAUAAAUAAUCUCUAUUUUCCCAAUUAUGAACAGACAAAAGAUCAAACAAAUAUCAUACUGAGUGACAGCUUAAUUUAUGUCAAAUUUUCUCUAAUUUGCAAGCCUGAAGAAAAACAAAAGGAGUUUCAGCUAUUUUGUACCCUAUUUAUGGAAAAUGCCAUUUCCAAAACAUUGCUUUCACACAUAAACAUCAUCAUUUCAGGUGCAAUAAUUAUGUGGCAAGUUAAACAUGAUAUAUUUAUAGAUAAAAGCCAAAAAACAACCUAUACAGAAAUUUGAUUGUUAAUAUUAUCGAUUGUGUUUGACAUAUGUUGUGAUGUGUUAUUUGGAAUGUGUGAAUUUAUUUUACAUGAGUAUUUUAUUGAACGUAUAAGUUAAUAAAUAAAUUUUUAGUCAAUGCUGAAUUUAUUAACCUCAUAAUCAAAUUUCACACAUAAUCACAUAAUCUGUUCUGAAAGAGACUAACAUUUUUUUUAAAUUCAGUAACAAGCAAAUGAAAGAUACUGGAUUAAUGAAUGCGCAUUUGAUGGAAAGAUUAAAAAAAUAAUCAAUUCCGUAUGACAUUAUAUCAUAUAUGUAUGUAUACAGAGGAAAUAAGAAACUUUGAUUUCAAGUAAUUGGGAAAAAAAAAAAAAAAGAAAACCAAAAACAAGCUGUUUUCAUGUGUUGGGAAUCCAUUUUGAUAGUGAAAUACAGUGAUUGUGAACUUUCAGUGGACUCGUAUAGACAGCAGACUGUGUAGUAGAUUAUGUAGGGAAGAGGCAGGUCCCCUACAUACCAUCUGCUAAAUCAAACAAUUUAAAAGAAUAGCCUCAAGAUUAGUACAGCAUAUUUUGUGUUAUGGUCAGGAAACGUGAGUAUUAAAUAGUUCUAUUCAAUGAAAAAUAAAUAUAUCAAUAUGGAUAUAAUAUGUUUGUAUAUUGUAAUAUUGAAUGAUGUUGAAAAGUAGCAGUAUAUGUCUAAUUUAAACAUUAUGUAUAUUUAAAUUGAUUUAAAUUAAUCUGACAAUGUCAUAGAAAUGUAGGCUCAUUUACAAAUGGUUCUUCUUAGUUCUGACGUAAAACCUCAUACAAGAUAUACAAUAUCUGUCUACAGACCAUAGGAGUAAAGUAUUUCAGCACUUAUUUUACUUCACCAUGUAUGAUUACUUAGUGUGCAUGCUGUAACACUGCAUUCAUUCAGCAUAGGCCCAAAGCCUGGAGCCACAGUGAUUUUGAGCCCAGGAAGCCUCACCCUCUGCUGGGCAAAGCCGACAACCACACUGGCUUCUGUAUACUCACACUUUAACUCACUCAAUCCCUUCUGACUGGCUCAAUCCCUUCUUUAUUUAACUGACAUAAGUGUUAUGUUACACUUCCACAUCAUAUUGUACUCCAAUAAGUAUUUAAUAAAUCAAGUUGCUUCUCGUUAUAUAAAAAUGUAUCAUGAAGUAUUGCUGUGUUAUCUCUAUAAUUUUGCUCCAUUUUUAAUGUUUAAUUCAGUAAUGCUUUAUUGUAUUAUGAACCAAAACUGAGAUUUACUGUUAUUUAACUGUUAUUGCUGUGUAUUCAAUGAUAAUCAUGUAUUCAAUGACACUCGGUUACUUUGUUCACAUACACAUGCACUACAUUGUAUUUUUACCACCAUGUUUUGCAUUAGAUAUUUGCAUAAUGUGAGCGACAUCAGGCAUCCACAAAAUGUAAAAAAAAAAAAAAAAAAAGUCUCCUAAAGGAUAUAAUAAAACCAUUAAGCUCAUAAUUUGAUUUGCUGCACAGCAGUUAACAUUAAGCCAGCUUGUGAAAUCCAGACUGUGGCACAAUGAUUUUAUGGCUAGCGCUUUAGUGGUUGCCAUUCAUAGGUUGAGUUGCCAGGAAACACGACUCCAAAUCCCUGAUUUUCUUCUAUUAGAAUUAGACAACGAUUUCCUAGUUACUUGUUUACAUGUAUUCAUAAGUACUGAUGUAAUAACUAGGUCAUUAAAUAUAAUUUGUAACUCUCAGAAGUCUGAUAUUAUACUGAAGGUGAAUUCUAUCAUAUGUAUGAUGUAACCAUGAUUGUACUGCCUUGAUGUUUUCUUUAAUGCAUUUGCCUUCAAGAUUUCGUUUUUACAUCAAGAUCAUACAAACAUAAAAUUUUGUGGGCAUAAACAAUAACAGCAGUCCAGUGAGGUUGGUUGGAAUGGUUUGCAGACCAGUUUUUUGCUCGUUUUUUCCAUCAUGCAUGCCUCUGUUUUAGUGUCUCGCUGAAGGUCUGACUCUGGCUUACAUUAAAUACAUACUGUAUGCUUGCACUGCACCACAAAUAAGAGCUGCAUCACUGAUUGUUUUUUCAAUAAAAACAAAGAAACAAAG
RNA transcript from Onychostoma macrolepis, 4285 nucleotides. It is a transcript of the gene named sodium channel, voltage-gated, type II, beta, with no coding region annotated. NCBI's taxonomy places the organism in Eukaryota, Metazoa, Chordata, Actinopteri, Cypriniformes, Cyprinidae. The record is from RefSeq and is a predicted model, not a curated record. The transcript has 6 exons.